This 240-nucleotide unclassified non-coding RNA is filed under the name soil metagenome. RNAcentral describes it as "partial contains 5.8S ribosomal RNA, internal transcribed spacer 2, and large subunit ribosomal RNA". The record is from RNAcentral.
AACAAGGCGUACCUGCGGACCUGCGGAAGGAUCAUUACAGAGUUGCAAAACUCCCUAAACCAUUGUGAACGUUACCUAAACCGUUGCUUCGGCGGGCGGCCCGGGUCCUUCCCGGCGCCCAUCGGCCCUCGCGGGCGCCCGCCGGAGGUAAACCAAACUAUUGCAUUGUAUGGCCUCUCUGAGUCUUCUGUACUGAAUAAGUCAAAACUUUUAACAACGGAUCUCAGAUCGGAAGAGCAC